RNAcentral lists this ribosomal RNA (380 nucleotides) under uncultured eukaryote. RNAcentral describes it as "partial 18S ribosomal RNA". It matches the Rfam family "Eukaryotic small subunit ribosomal RNA", at positions 592 to 976 of the family's 1831-position model. The record is from RNAcentral.
CAAUAGCGUAUAUUAAAGUUGUUGCGGUUAGAACGCUCGUAGUCGGAUUUCGGGGCGGGCCGACCGGUCUGCCGAUGGGUAUGCACUGGUCGGCGCGUCCUUCCUUCCGGAGACCGUCCCUACUCUUAACUGAGCGGGGGCGGGAGACGGGACUUUUACUUUGAAAAAAUCAGAGUGUUUCAAGCAGGCAGCUCGCUCUUGCAUGGAUUAGCAUGGGAUAAUGAAAUAGGACUUUGGUGCUAUUUUGUUGGUUUCGAACACCGAAGUAAUGAUGAGAAGGGACAGUCAGGGGCACUCGUAUUCCGCCGAGAGAGGUGAAAUUCUCAGACCAGCGGAAGACGAACCACUGCGAAAGCAUUUGCCAGGGAUGUUUUCACUGA